UACAGAGGGGGCAAGCGUUGUUCGGAAUUACUGGGCGUAAAGGGCGCGUAGGCGGCCUGUUAAGUCGAACGUGAAAUCCCCGAGCUCAACUCAGGAAUUGCAUCGGAAACUGGCGGGCUGGAGUCCGGGAGAGGGUAGUGGAAUUCCUGGUGUAGAGGUGAAAUUCGUAGAUAUCAGGAGGAACACCGGUGGCGAAGGCGGCUACCUGGACCGGUACUGACGCUGAGACACGAAAGCGUGGGGAGCAAACAGG
Molecule: ribosomal RNA, 253 nt
Filed under: uncultured bacterium
Lineage: Bacteria
Description: partial 16S ribosomal RNA
Rfam family: Bacterial small subunit ribosomal RNA
Source: RNAcentral